GAUGAACGCUGGCGGUCUGCUUAGCACAUGCAAGUCGAACGGAAUCCUUCGGGAUUUAGUGGCGGACGGGUGAGUAACGCGUGAGAAUCUGCCUUCAGGUUCGGGACAACAGCUGGAAACGGCUGCUAAUACCGGAUGUGCCGAGAGGUGAAAGCUUUAGUGCCUGAAGAUGAGCUCGCGUCUGAUUAGCUAGUAGGAGUGGUAAUGGCACCCCUAGGCGACGAUCAGUAGCUGGUCUGAGAGGAUGAUCAGCCACACUGGGACUGAGACACGGCCCAGACUCCUACGGGAGGCAGCAGUGGGGAAUUGUCCGCAAUGGGCGCAAGCCUGACGGAGCAAGACUGCGUGAGGGAAGAAGGUCUGUGGAUUGUAAACCUCUUUUGAUGGGGAGGAAGACAGUGACGGUACCCAUCGAAUCAGCCUCGGCUAACUCCGUGCCAGCAGCCGCCGUAA
RNAcentral lists this ribosomal RNA (453 nucleotides) under uncultured bacterium. Its description in RNAcentral is "partial 16S ribosomal RNA". It matches the Rfam family "Bacterial small subunit ribosomal RNA", at positions 28 to 523 of the family's 1533-position model. The record is from RNAcentral.